UACGCAGGGUGCGAGCGUUAAUCGGAAUUACUGGGCGUAAAGCGUGCGCAGGCGGCUUUGCAAGACAGAUGUGAAAUCCCCGGGCUCAACCUGGGAACUGCAUUUGUGACUGCAAGGCUAGAGUACGGCAGAGGGGGAUGGAAUUCCGCGUGUAGCAGUGAAAUGCGUAGAUAUGCGGAGGAACACCAAUGGCGAAGGCAAUCCCCUGGGCCUGUACUGACGCUCAUGCACGAAAGCGUGGGGAGCAAACAGG
This 253-nucleotide ribosomal RNA is filed under the name uncultured bacterium. RNAcentral's name for it is "partial 16S ribosomal RNA". It matches the Rfam family "Bacterial small subunit ribosomal RNA", at positions 524 to 776 of the family's 1533-position model. The record is from RNAcentral.